RNAcentral lists this unclassified non-coding RNA (161 nucleotides) under uncultured fungus. Its description in RNAcentral is "sequence contains ITS1, 5.8S rRNA gene". Lineage: Eukaryota; Fungi. RNAcentral also lists the same sequence under 1 other name. The record is from RNAcentral.
CCGAGUUUUCAACUCCCUAACCCUUAUGUGAACCUACCCAUUGUUGCUUCGGCGGACUCGCCCCAGCCGGACGCGGACUGGACCAGCGGCCGCCGGGGACCCUCAAACUCUUGUAUUAUCAGCAUCUUCUGAAUACGCCGCAAGGCAAAACAAAUAAAUCA